CCAUUAUUGACCACAGUUAGUUCCGAAGAUGUUUUCUCCCCUUCUAGAGUUUCAAAGGUCAUGCGGACAGCAAUUCCGACAUGCUUCUGGGGAAGGAGGAGACAUGCUGAAUGCACAACCAGAUGAAAAUGCAAAUAGGAGACCGUGCAGCCUCCUCGGGACCACCACGGUCACCUUGGGAUUGCCCCACGAGGGAGGCCCUCCCAGCAGCCUGUUCCUCACCCAUCUCUGCCUGGAUGGACUGGGGCUUCCUGAUGUGCAUGACUGGUUCCAUGAGGCCACGCUGAGUUUUUGUCUUCGUCAUUACCAGACCCGUCAUGUCAUCUCCCAGGUACUCCAGUGGAC
Molecule: long non-coding RNA, 345 nt
Organism: Equus quagga
Lineage: Eukaryota; Metazoa; Chordata; Mammalia; Perissodactyla; Equidae
Exons: 3
Source: RefSeq, a predicted model, not a curated record